Small nucleolar RNA from Apodemus sylvaticus (European woodmouse), 128 nucleotides. RefSeq annotates it as small nucleolar RNA SNORA17. The transcript has a single exon. Lineage: Eukaryota; Metazoa; Chordata; Mammalia; Rodentia; Muridae. The record is from RefSeq and is a predicted model, not a curated record.
CCUACCCCCUAGAGGCCUUUUGGGUGUGGCUGCUGUGUCACAUGUGCAUCAGUAGCUGGCAGAGAGAAGCCAUGUCUACACUCGGUGUUCUGACCUUUGAACAUCUGAAUGAUUAGUAGCCUAAUACU